Long non-coding RNA from Xiphophorus couchianus (Monterrey platyfish), 319 nucleotides. RefSeq lists it as uncharacterized. The record is from RefSeq and is a predicted model, not a curated record. The transcript is spliced from 4 exons. NCBI's taxonomy places the organism in Eukaryota, Metazoa, Chordata, Actinopteri, Cyprinodontiformes, Poeciliidae.
UUGUUUCUCGCGAGGAGAACGGACAGAGAUGUGCUUUCAGUUACAAAUCUCCUACCGCUCUGAAACACAUCUGACCGCUCCUCUCUUUUUAUUACUUUCAGAAACCCUCGUACAUUGGGCGCUUUGCAACUUCUCAAAGGGAGGGGGAAAACAAUUCAUCACUAGUUGCGGCGCUAAUGACAUUCACUAUUUAGACACAUGUUAUCUACACUCUAAAUCCUUCUCCAGUCGAGUACCAGACACGGCCGGCGUUGAGUAAAACAAGUUGUAUAUCAUACAGGAGAGCAGAGUUCAUAGCUGGUCAAUAAUCUCUGUUGUC